GACGGAGGGUGCUAGCGUUGUUCGGAAUUACUGGGCGUAAAGGGCGCGUAGGCGGCGGGUCAAGUCGAGUGUGAAAGCCCCGGGCUCAACCUGGGAAUUGCGCUCGAGACUGGUCUGCUUGAGUUCGGGAGAAGAGAGUGGAAUUCCCAGUGUAGAGGUGAAAUUCGUAGAUAUUGGGAAGAACACCGGUGGCGAAGGCGGCUCUCUGGACCGAGACUGACGCUGAGGCGCGAAAGCGUGGGGAGCAAACAGG
RNAcentral lists this ribosomal RNA (253 nucleotides) under uncultured bacterium. RNAcentral's name for it is "partial 16S ribosomal RNA". It matches the Rfam family "Bacterial small subunit ribosomal RNA", at positions 524 to 776 of the family's 1533-position model. The record is from RNAcentral.